AUUGCCCUAGUAACGGCGAGUGAAGCGGCAACAGCUCAAAUUUGAAAUCUGGCGCAAGCCCGAGUUGUAAUUUGUAGAGGAUGCUUCUAGGCAGCGGCCGGUCUAAGUUUCUUGGAACAGGACGUCAUAGAGGGUGAGAAUCCCGUAUGUGACCGGUUGGCACCUUAUACGUAGCUCCUUCGACGAGUCGAGUUGUUUGGGAAUGCAGCUCUAAAUGGGAGGUAAAUUUCUUCUAAAGCUAAAUACCGGCCAGAGACCGAUAGCGCACAAGUAGAGUGAUCGAAAGAUGAAAAGUACUUUGGAAAGAGAGUUAAAAAGCACGUGAAAUUGUUAAAAGGGAAGCGCUUGCAACCAGACUUGUUGGCGGUGUUCCGCCGGUCUUCUGACCGGUCUAUUCGCCGCCUGCAGGCCAGCGUCGUCUGGUGCCGCCGGAUAAAGGCUUUGGGAAUGUAGCUCCUCGGAGUGUUAUAGCCCAUUGCACAAUACGGCGCGCGCCGGGCGAGGUCCGCGCUUCGGCAAGGACGCUGGCGUAAUGGUCGUAAGCGGCCCGUCUUGAAACACGGACCAAGGAGUCGAUCAAUUGUGCGAGUGUUCGGGUGAAAAACCCUUGCGCGUAAUGAAAGUGAACGGAGGCGAGAACCGCAAGGUGCAUCGUCGACCGAUCCUGAUGUCUUCGGAUGGAUUUGAGUAAGAGCAUAGCUGAUCGGACCCGAAAGAUGGUGAACUAUGCCUAAAUAGAAUGAAACCAGGGGAAACCCUGGCGGAAGUUCGCAGCGGUUCUGACGUGCAAAUCGAUCGUCAAAUUUGGGUAUAGGGGCGAAAGACUAAUCGAACCAUCUAGUAGCUGGUUCCUGCCGAAGUUUCCCUCAGGAUAGCAGUA
Molecule: ribosomal RNA, 880 nt
Filed under: uncultured fungus
Lineage: Eukaryota; Fungi
Description: LSU rRNA
Rfam family: Eukaryotic large subunit ribosomal RNA
Source: RNAcentral